UCCAUCUUGGAGACUACGUGCAGCU
RNAcentral lists this unclassified non-coding RNA (25 nucleotides) under Mus musculus (house mouse). Its description in RNAcentral is "oocyte_clustered_small_RNA4973". Lineage: Eukaryota; Metazoa; Chordata; Mammalia; Rodentia; Muridae. The record is from RNAcentral.